AGAUUUGAAGUGAAUUUUCUUUGUUUUAUUUAAUAUAUUGAUUAUUUGUGGAAAGAUUUGUGAUCAUCUUGCUUCAGCCUCUCAAGUUUAUGGCAUUACAGGUCAUCAUGAGGUAAACAGUCUUUCUCUACCACAUUCUCCUGUCAGGAUACACAGUGGGGCUACAAGUCCAAAGCAACAGAACCAAGCAACCCUAUACUGAAACCCUGAGCCAAAUGAAUCUUCGCUCCUUUUAAGUGGAUUAUCUUGGGUAUAUUUGUCACAGUAAUGGAAAGUUGACUAACACAGCUAUAUAGCACAUUUUUCCUAAAUUUAGUGCCAAUGACAAACAUUUAUUACUCACAGUUUCUCUGAGUUAGGAAUUCUUUGUUGGUGAAUUGGCACCAAGUUUUCUCAGGAGGUUAUAAACAAUUGACUUACACCACGGUUUCAUCUGAAGACUGGUGGUAGUGGUGGAAAGGAAGCAUCUAAACCCAUUCAUGUGAUUAGUUUUAACCCCAUUGCAUUGCUUCAUAUAUAAACUGACUUUGCCAAGUAUGAGCAAUUUGAAAAAGAACAAGAGCGAGAGCCUGAGGCAUAUGCCACAGUGUUUUCAUAAAAUAGUUUCAGAAAGAAUAUCUCAUUACUUUAGUUGUUUUCUGUUCUUUAGAAUCAAUACAACAAGUUUAACCCAUUAUCAAAGGAGAAGAAAUUAAGCAAGGUGUGAGUACUGAGAGGUAGCAAUCCAAGAGGACUAUUGUUGGGACUUAUUUUCAAUAUUUCAAAUUAUUCAGUAUUUUUUAUUUGUGCUAUAGGCAAUAUAAUCACUUAAACUAAGAAGAGAAUGAAUGUUAGAUUAAGGAAAAGAACACAUUAAAUCGGGUAGCACAAGAAAGAAUAAUAAAUGUUCAAUUUAAAAAAAUAAAUAGAAAACAAACUAGAUUCACUUCAAUAUUGUAAUGGUAUGGGCAAUUAGGAAAAAGAAAGUAGAGAAUUCUAAGCUAUUCUGAAGUAAUCAACAAGGGGCAAUUUCAUUGUAUAUGUUAGUCAUAUCAGGAUAAAGAUUUUCAGAAGAACAAUAAUACUUCAGUCUUGUGAAAACAAGGCUUGAAAAUAGAAGAUAGUAAAUAAAAACUAGAGCCAUUAAACUGGUUAUGAUCAAGAUGUUUGUGAAGGCUCUGAUAAAUAAGCAACUUCGCCCCAAGAUGAGAUUCAAAAAAAGCAUAGGAUUUUGUCACUGGAUAUGAAUUUGAAGAAUUACAGAAUAAUUCAAAGACUACUAAUCACUAAGCCAUGAUGUUCCAGGCACAAGUAUCGAAUAUGUCAUGUUUCUCAUUUAAUUAGUACAUUAAUACAAGGAAUGUUGUUAAGAAAUUCAUUGUGUUUACAUUCCCAAAACAAGUGGCAACCCCUGUAGAUUAAUUUAAAUCAAUAAUUAUAACUCCAACCCCUUUACUGAUGGCCCAUUGAGGACUGGUAAUAUGGUCCAUUGUGAAGAAGAAUCUAUGAGAAGAUGUCUAUUGUGGGCAUCUGGAAUAGAUUUUUCUUUCCAAAUAAUGUCAGUGAGAAAGAUAAGGUGUCUGUUUUCCUAUUGGAAUUUAUCAUGUUUACAUAUAAUACUUUAGAACUGCUAUAAAUAUCUUGCUCUUAGCUCAAAGAUGAAAUCUACAUUAAAGAUGACACAAUUUACCUAAUUAUAUUUAAUGCUGCAGUGAUACAUUUUAGAAUAAAUACCAAAAUGAAAAUAUCUCAAAUAUUCUCAAUUUGACAAAUCCAGAUUUUUUUAAAAAUUACUAUUUUUUUGCUUAUCUUUUUCACUAAUUUGAAAAUGAAGAAGACUGAAUGAAAUCUCAGAUGUAUUAGCAGUUUUUUUUCUUGUAAGAGAAAAUAUGUGUUGCAUCCCUAUAAUUUCUAAAUAGAAGAAAUGCAAAAGUGGAAAGACAGUAGGUUGGUUUAUGAAAUUAACCACUUGGCAUCUGUAGCAGAUAUUUACUUACUGCCAAAUAUUUACCACAAUAAACAACAGUCUUUGCUGUCAAAUUUUAUUACAGCUUGCAUCGAGGAAGGAAAGUUCCCUUAGGAACAGUUCUUGUUUGACAAAAAUGAACACAGUGUCAUUUUGCUUUCUGUUUAUGGAAAGACAAAAAUAAACACUUAUUUCGGUAAUUGUAACAUCUUCAGAGUUCAGACAUUCUGCCUAUCAAAAAUGAAUUGUGGGAGACUAUAUAACAUCAAAUAACAACUCUGGCUACCCACUUCUAAUUCCCUGGUAUUAUUAUAAAAAGCAAAAUACUGAGCUGAGGAAAAUCAGACAGCCAAUUUUCAUUGCAGUAUGGUUUGGGAAUGAAAAUAAACAGUGUGAUUUCUGUAGACUUCUCAGAACUUUCAUGGUACAGUGGUUGUGCACUGGGGGUCAGCCCCUGGGUGAUUUGAACUGUGGUGUGUCAAGAUGCUAUAACUAGUGGACCCAUGUUUGCUAUUUGUGGGUGAUUAAUUUUGAUUUACUUUUUAUCUUUUAACAAAUAAGCAUUAGAUAUAUACUGUAUGAAAAUAGUUUCAAUAAAUUUAUCCUAAUUGUAUUAUUUUA
Molecule: non-coding RNA, 2566 nt
Organism: Ictidomys tridecemlineatus (thirteen-lined ground squirrel)
Lineage: Eukaryota; Metazoa; Chordata; Mammalia; Rodentia; Sciuridae
Source: RefSeq, a predicted model, not a curated record